This 433-nucleotide ribosomal RNA is filed under the name uncultured bacterium. RNAcentral describes it as "partial 16S ribosomal RNA". It matches the Rfam family "Bacterial small subunit ribosomal RNA", at positions 29 to 507 of the family's 1533-position model. The record is from RNAcentral.
AGCGAACGCUGGCGGCAGGCCUAACACAUGCAAGUCGAACGGAUCCUUCGGGAUUAGUGGCGGACGGGUGAGUAACACGUGGGAACGUGCCCUUUGGUUCGGAACAACUCAGGGAAACUUGAGCUAAUACCGGAUGUGCCCUUCGGGGGAAAGAUUUAUCGCCAUUGGAGCGGCCCGCGUCUGAUUAGCUAGUUGGUGAGGUAACGGCCCACCAAGGCGACGAUCAGUAGCUGGUCUGAGAGGAUGAUCAGCCACACUGGGACUGAGACACGGCCCAGACUCCUACGGGAGGCAGCAGUGGGGAAUCUUGCGCAAUGGGCGAAAGCCUGACGCAGCCAUGCCGCGUGAAUGAUGAAGGUCUUAGGAUUGUAAAAUUCUUUCAGCGGGGACGAUAAUGACGGUACCCGCAGAAGAAGCGCCGGCUAACUUCGCG